This 448-nucleotide ribosomal RNA is filed under the name uncultured bacterium. RNAcentral's name for it is "SSU rRNA". It matches the Rfam family "Bacterial small subunit ribosomal RNA", at positions 26 to 518 of the family's 1533-position model. The record is from RNAcentral.
AGAACGAACGCUGGCGGCAGGCUUAACACAUGCAAGUCGAACGGUUGUAGCAAUACAGCAGUGGCAGACGGGUGAGUAACACGUGGGAACCUUCCUAGGGGUACGGAACAACUCAGGGAAACUUGAGCUAAUACCGUAUACGUCCGUAAGGAGAAAGAUUCAUCGCCCCUAGACGGGCCCGCGUAGGAUUAGGUAGUUGGUGAGGUAACGGCUCACCAAGCCUACGAUCCUUAGCUGAUCUGAGAGGAUGAUCAGCCACACUGGGACUGAGACACGGCCCAGACUCCUACGGGAGGCAGCAGUGGGGAAUCUUGGACAAUGGGCGCAAGCCUGAUCCAGCCAUGCCGCGUGAGUGAAGAAGGCCUUCGGGUUGUAAAGCUCUUUUACCAGGGACGAUAAUGACGGUACCUGGAGAAUAAGCCCCGGCAAACUUCGUGCCAGCAGCCGC